This 508-nucleotide non-coding RNA is filed under the name Pongo abelii (Sumatran orangutan). Lineage: Eukaryota; Metazoa; Chordata; Mammalia; Primates; Hominidae. The record is from RNAcentral.
UUAACAAACAAUUGUGUUUAUUGACAAGUUCAUACAUCAGUACAAACGGGCACGUUAAAAACCCCCCGCCCCAUGCAGCCGAGGAGGAGGCGGGAAGCGCCGCGACCUACACAAAGUAGAAAAGUUAUAAAUAAGGGGCUUUCAAAACUGGGCGGGGGCAAAUCUGGAGUGGGGCGGCGGUUGCCGGUGGCCUCAGACAUGCAGAAGGGGACGGGGGGAUGUUCCAACACAGGCUUCUGACUGAGCAUCACUCAGGAUGCAGGGAGAAGGUGGCCUCUGGGCCAGCAGCCGGCUGGGGUCCAGGGUGGAGGACAGGGAAGAACAAGGGGCUGAGGAAAGGAGGCCGGAGCUUCAUGUCUGCCCAGGUGAGGGCUUACUGUCCUGCAGCAACAUCCCACAGCUGGCUCAAGUUCUGGCCUGGAGAGUAAGGGGUCACAGGGAAAUACAAUGCUGGGCCCCUCUUGGAGGGAGAAUGGGAGUGGAAUGUGCGGGCUCAGGUCCAAAUACC